RNAcentral lists this unclassified non-coding RNA (253 nucleotides) under soil metagenome. RNAcentral's name for it is "partial contains small subunit ribosomal RNA, internal transcribed spacer 1, and 5.8S ribosomal RNA". The record is from RNAcentral.
UUUCCGUAGGUGAACCUGCGGAAGGAUCAUUACAAAUCCACAAGUCACCCUAACCCGGUCGACAACCACGUUGAACCCCCCCCCCUCAGGCCCUCGGCGGCGGACCCUGGGACGCGCGCCUGCGUGUGUCCCCGGUGUGAAGCCUCGAGGCGCCCCUAUUUGACCCCUUAUGGCUGACACAAACAACCACGAAUGUACCAACACAACAACAACAACCUAGAAACAACUUAUAACAAUGGAUCUCUAGGCUCUU